This is an RNA transcript of Microplitis mediator, 3243 nucleotides long. It is a transcript of the gene named speckle-type POZ protein-like, with no coding region annotated. Lineage: Eukaryota; Metazoa; Arthropoda; Insecta; Hymenoptera; Braconidae. The transcript is spliced from 3 exons. The record is from RefSeq and is a predicted model, not a curated record.
AGAGGAAAAACCCGGAGUCCAAAACAAAAUCUAAUCUAAUCUGAAUGACGUCGUAAUAAAGGUCCAGUCCAACGUAGCUGUUGCACAAUCGAAUAAGUUUCACAUUUAUGGAGAAAAUAUACGAAUUAUAAAGCGAUUGAGAAUAUUUAAAAAGUAUACUUUAUAACAAGAUUGAAUUGCUUUAAUUAUGAGUGAAAACGUUGUAUUUAAAACGGAAAAGGGUUAUUCCCACGCAAAGCAGUGUAACGUUAUUUUUGAAUGGAAAAUAGACGAAAUGUCACUGUUGAUUGGACGUGCUAGAGCUAUUCGUGAUGAGGUAAGCAUUAAAUCACCGACAUUUUCAUCUGGUUCCAGUAUUGAAGAUUCAUGGCAUUUGGAAUUAGUAUUUAAAAAUGAUGAGAAUGAGAUGCUUGAAGAUGAUGAACGUAAAAUAGAAAUUAGAGUGUAUUUGAUGUCAAACAAUGAAAGAAUGAUAGUAAAUACGAAGUAUUGCUUGUUUAUGUUGAAUAAUAAGAAAGAAAAAUAUUCUUUUGAAUUUUCGGUCUUAAACUAUCCGUACUCGAAGAUAACUUUCGGUCCUACAGAAAUGUAUCAGGAACACUAUGAUGAGAAUGAUUCCGAGACCAUUAAUAUAAAAGAACUAUUGGAAGAAGAAAAUUCAUUCUUGCCGAAUGAUGUUUUAACAUUAUGUGUUGACUUGACUGUAUAUGAUGAUUAUAUAUCAUCAAGUCAUACCAUAAUUCCACUACAAACUACAACCCAUAAAAUUACUGAUGACUUGAAAGAUCUUUUUAUGACCAAAAAAAGAAGUGAUGUUGUUAUAACAGUCGGUGAUAAAAAGUUUCAAGCACAUAAAAUCAUUUUAGGAGCUCGUAGUCCUGUAUUUGAUGCGAUGUUUUCACAUGACAUGAGAGAAAAGAAAGAAAAUGAAAUAGAAAUACCAGACGUUGAUCCUCAAAUAUUCAAAAAACUUCUCGAAUUCAUAUAUACAGAUGAAGUCAGUGACUUGGAUGAUUAUGCUAAAGAAUUAUUAGAAGUUGCAAAUAAAUACCAAAUGCAAUCACUCAAAGAAAUGUGCGCAGUUUCUAUAUCUAAAACGAUAAGUGUUGAAAAUGUCAUUGGAAUAAUACGUUUUGCUGAUCACCAUAAUACCAAGCAAUUAGCGGAAUACGCUGAAAAAUUUAUAAUUAUGAACUUCAUAAACGUUAUGAAUACUAAAGAAUACAAAGCACUGGAAACUUCCCAUCCAUCUUUAUUUUUCGGUAUUCUUAAAAAAUAUGCAGCUGGAAAUAAAAUUUAAUGCUUGAUUCAAACUUAAUACUUAUAAUUAACAAACAAGUGAACGUAAAUUUCAUAUCUAUUCAUAGAUUUUUUAAAAUUACAAUUUCAUAUAAAUGUAAUCAGUAAAAACUAUCUUUUUAUUUUGUAAAAUGAUGAAUAAUAUCCCCUCCUUCAAGAUAUAUAUUUUUAUAUAAUAAAUAUGAUUAGAUUCUGUAAGAGUAUAACAUCUGCAAAAGAUUUUUCUAUUUGUCAAUUGAUGUCACCAUCAAUUACUUCACGUGGACAUAAUUUUUAAUUAUAUAUUUCAAGCUUUAAAUAAUAAAAUACAAUUAUAAAUCAUAUGUGUAUACAUAAAUAUAUAUAUAUAUAUAUUUCUGUAUUUAACAAUCUGAUUAUUGAAGUAUUACCCGAUCGGCAUGAUUGUCAGAAAGUCAUUUUAUUAGUAUCAAAGUUAUCUAAAAAAAUGUGUUAUCUUUCUGAUAUCCACGAAGGCUAGAUAUCGAGCCUUCGCAGUAGUAGCAGUCCAACGUAAUUGUUGUACAAUUCAAUAAGUUUCAUAUUUAUGAUGAAAAUAUACUAAAUAUUGAGUGAUUAAGAAUAUUUGAAAAGUGAACAUAAAAAAAAAAAAUAAUAAUUCUAAUUAUGGAUGAAAGUGUUGAUUUCAAAAUGGAAAGGGGUUAUUCCCAUUCAAAGCAGUACUCAAUUAUUUACGAAUGGGAAAUUGAUAAAAUAUCAACGUUUAUUGAAAUGUCUCAUUGUUCUUACAAACCUUUUAUAUUGAAAUCAUCUAAAUUUUCAACUGGUUCAAGUAUUGGAGAUUCAUGGUACUUGCAAUUAACGAUAGAAGGUGGAGCAGAAUUUAUGCCUCUUGGCGCUCAUCUAGCCGUUUUAGCAGUAAAAUUGAUAUCAGAUAUUGAAAACAAAGAGAUAAAAGCAAAGUAUUUGAUUUAUAUGUUAAAUAAUAAAAAGGAAAAAUUUACAACCAAGUUUGGAACCCUAAAUCAUCCCUACUCCAAGCCAGCUUAUGGGCAAAUGAUAACAGAUCCGGAUUAUUCUGAUCCUGAUGAUAAAACUGAUCCUUUCUCGAAUUAUAUCAACAUAGAACAACUAUUUAAAUACAAAGAUACGCUUUUACCAAAUGAUACUUUAACAUUAUGUGUUGAUUUAACUGUGUACGAUGAUCGUGAAGUAUCAAGUAUUGCCGCAAUUUCAUUGAAAACUCCACAGCAUCAUCUUGCUGAUUACUUGAAAGAUCUUUUGGAUACUGGAACAAAAAGUGAUGUUGUUAUAACAGUCGGUGAUAAAAAGUUUCAAGCACAUAAACUCAUUUUAGGAACUCGUAGUCCUGUAUUUGAUGCGAUCUUUUCACAUGACAUGAAAGAAAAGAAAGAAAAUGAAAUAGAAAUACCAGAUGUUGAUCCUGAAAUAUUUAAAAAACUUCUCGAAUUUAUUUACACAGAUAAAGUCAGUGACUUGGAUGACAAUGCUGAAGAAUUAUUGGAAGUUGCAGAUAAAUAUCAAUUACAAUUACUUAAAGAUAUGUGUACAGUUUCUUUAUCUCAAACAAUAGAUGUUGAAAAUGCCAUACCAAUAAUGCUAUUUGCCGAUCGCAAUAAUGUCCAACAGUUGAUAGAAUACGCUGAAAAAUUUAUCAUAAUUAAUUUUCAGAAAAUAAAAAAAACUAAGGAAUACGAAGCACUGGAAACUUCUCAUCCAUCUUUAUUUUUGGCUAUUUUAAAAAAAUGUGCAGCUGAAAAUAAAAUUUGAUGCUCUGUAACAGGACAAGUAUUUUAAUCUACUGGAUAAUUACAAGCUUAAUAUUUAUAAAUCACAAACAAGUGAACGUGAAUUUCAUAACUACAGAUUUUCAUAAAUUAUAAUUUCAUAAAAAUGUAAUCAGUAAAUAUUAUUUCUUUAUUCUGUGAAAUGAUGAUAAUAUCCAUUUAUUUAUGACAUGUAUUA